CGAUACAAGUGUCAAAAGUAUAAAAACUCGAUUGGGGCUUGCUUGCAAAAAAAUUUAUUAUCUUUUGACACGCAAAAAAAUAUGAAUAAGCAGCUAUUUUUACAAAAAUUAGCGGAUUAUGAAUAUUUUUGCAAGAAUUACGAUUGACGAAACCGGAGAAAUCCUGUAUCA
RNAcentral lists this small RNA (171 nucleotides) under Catonella morbi ATCC 51271. RNAcentral describes it as "Clostridiales-1 RNA". It matches the Rfam family "Clostridiales-1 RNA". Lineage: Bacteria; Bacillati; Bacillota; Clostridia; Lachnospirales; Lachnospiraceae. The record is from Rfam by way of RNAcentral.